CCCUUGGAGGGUGUAUCUAGCAAUCCUACUCCUCCAAGGUCACACAUUUCUACUUAAAUCUAACCUUGGUGUGGAGACUUAGAGGUUCUCAAUUUUGGGAACUUGGAGAAACCUAUUCUUCCAUCCAAAUCCAUAGAUCUAAGAAGCAAGGAAUGAAGGCCCUCUCCUUGGGUGAUUAGCCUUUGCUUAUGCAAAGAGGAAUCUACAAAGGUAUAUAAAUUUCUCAACUCACUUUGAUUUGAGUUGAGUCUUGGUUCACCAAUCUACUAGGCUUUGA
RNAcentral lists this long non-coding RNA (277 nucleotides) under Malus domestica (apple). RNAcentral describes it as "long non-coding RNA (MDOM_LNC020362)". Lineage: Eukaryota; Viridiplantae; Streptophyta; Magnoliopsida; Rosales; Rosaceae. The record is from RNAcentral.